CCAAAGGCUCUUUUAAGAGCCACCCACAUUUUUAAAAUGGCGUGA
Non-coding RNA from Ictidomys tridecemlineatus (thirteen-lined ground squirrel), 45 nucleotides. The record is from Rfam. Lineage: Eukaryota; Metazoa; Chordata; Mammalia; Rodentia; Sciuridae.